This 448-nucleotide long non-coding RNA is filed under the name Gossypium raimondii (Peruvian cotton). RNAcentral describes it as "long non-coding RNA (GRAI_LNC005699)". Lineage: Eukaryota; Viridiplantae; Streptophyta; Magnoliopsida; Malvales; Malvaceae. The record is from RNAcentral.
UCAAUUUUUUUUUUCAAAUUUCGAGUUCGAAUUGAGUUGAGUUUUUGAAUUCGAAUAACUCGAAUAAUUCGAAUAUCAAACUAUAAUAUUUUAUAUUUUUACCCCAAACUCCCAAACCUUUUUACUUUUCCCUCAAAAGUUUUACUCCUUCCCACUUUCCUCCCAAAACUUUUACUCCUGUCUCCUCCCAACCCCCCAAUCUACCCAAAAUUCAUUUCCCACCAAAAUUAUACUCUCCCAUUUACUUUUUCUCAAAAUUUUACUCCCUCCCACUUUUUCCCUAAAAUUUUUAUUCCCUUCUCAUCCCACCUCUCAUCUACCCUAAACCCUCCCCCCUCCAAUUUUUUUUUAAUAUUUUCCCUCCAAAAUUUUACUCCCCCUAUUUACUUUCUCUCAAACUUUUAUUCCCCAAAACCUUUUAUUUUCCCCCUAAACUUUUACUUCUCAC